This 468-nucleotide ribosomal RNA is filed under the name uncultured bacterium. RNAcentral describes it as "partial 16S ribosomal RNA". It matches the Rfam family "Bacterial small subunit ribosomal RNA", at positions 28 to 507 of the family's 1533-position model. The record is from RNAcentral.
GACGAACGCUGGCGGCGUGCUUAACACAUGCAAGUCGAACGGAAAGGCCCUGCUUUUGUGGUGUGCUCGAGUGGCGAACGGGUGAGUAACACGUGAGUAACCUGCCCUUUACUUUGGGAUAACUUCAGGAAACUGGGGCUAAUACCGGAUAGGAGCUCCUGCUGCAUGGUGGGGUGUGGAAAGUUUCGGCGGUUGGGGAUGGACUCGCGGCUUAUCAGCUUGUUGGUGGGGUAGUGGCUUACCAAGGCUUUGACGGGUAGCCGGCCUGAGAGGGUGACCGGCCACAUUGGGACUGAGAUACGGCCCAGACUCCUACGGGAGGCAGCAGUGGGGAAUAUUGCACAAUGGGCGGAAGCCUGAUGAAGCAACGCCGCGUGCGGGAUGACGGCCUUCGGGUUGUAACCCGCUUUCGCCUGUGACGAAGCGUGAGUGACGGUAAUGGGUAAAGAAGCACCGGCUAACUACGUG